This 253-nucleotide ribosomal RNA is filed under the name uncultured bacterium. RNAcentral's name for it is "partial 16S ribosomal RNA". It matches the Rfam family "Bacterial small subunit ribosomal RNA", at positions 524 to 776 of the family's 1533-position model. The record is from RNAcentral.
UACGAAGGGGGCUAGCGUUGCUCGGAAUCACUGGGCGUAAAGGGUGCGUAGGCGGGUCUUUAAGUCAGGGGUGAAAUCCUGGAGCUCAACUCCAGAACUGCCUUUGAUACUGAAGAUCGUGAGUUUGGGAGAGGUGAGUGGAACUGCGAGUGUAGAGGUGAAAUUCGUAGAUAUUCGCAAGAACACCAGUGGCGAAGGCGGCUCACUGGCCCGAUACUGACGCUGAGGCACGAAAGCGUGGGGAGCAAACAGG